This is a long non-coding RNA of Mastomys coucha (southern multimammate mouse), 1101 nucleotides long. RefSeq lists it as uncharacterized. The transcript has 3 exons. Lineage: Eukaryota; Metazoa; Chordata; Mammalia; Rodentia; Muridae. The record is from RefSeq and is a predicted model, not a curated record.
GUUCCUAGGGCAACGCUAUCUGCAGGGGAUGAUAUGAUGGAACCUGGCUUCUUGUCAACGGAUGGCACUGUUCUGUAACACCAAAGGCCAAGCAGUGGCUCUGAACCAGAGUACAGCCGGACCUCACCCUCCACCCUCGCCCACUUACCUCAGUGUCUCUACAGUCAGAACAGCCAACCACAACAACGCUUCAACUGGCAGGAAACAAGUCUUCACACCCUUGGGAUUUCCUAUCACGUGAUGUGCAACCUUCUCCAGAAACAAUCGGACCUAAAAAUAGAAUGCCUCGCAUUCACCUUCAUCUCAACACAAUGAUUCCACGGUCCUGUACCUGGCCUUGAAGCAGUGCCAAGCACUUUGAAAUACAGAGACUCCUCCGUGUAAAUGAAGGAAGCACUUCCAGGGACUCCCGAGGCCAGGCUGCUGUUUACUUAUUCCCUAUUCUUUGUUAUUUUGUCGGCUUUUGCCAGGAAAGCCCCUGUAGGAGGAAGGAAAGCAAGAAGUGGUGCAGAAGGGUGCAGAAGAUUAGCAAGCAGAAUUGGUGACCCUGGGGAAAGACUACAUGACUCCAGAGGAAUUAGGGCCCGCUCUGAGGUCGUUCAUUGAAGGAACUCCAAACUUAUCCUUCCCAAUGCGUAUGAUCUGACGCUUCAUCAGUAGAGGGCGCUAAAGAGACACUGCAGGAACAAGGGGCUUUUCUCUCGGUUUUACUCCUGGUGUCUGACCUCCAGCAGUGCACAUGCUGAUUCAUCAGCCAUGCCAUGUGCCAUCAAGAUCCCUACAGUGUACAGUCCUUCUCCCGGAUCCUCUGCCUGGACUCGGGGACCCCUUGCCUUCACCCUUGUGACAACCAGUUUUACAUCUACAAUGGGGUCGGACCUCCUGAUCACUUUCCACCUAUGGCUGGCUGGCUGACAGCACAGGACUUUGUUUCUUAAAGCCCUCCAAGUGUGAACGCUUCACACCAGGCCUCACACUUCCUACUGUGUGUGGUAGGUAAACAGCCUUAGCCUCAGCUUGCCUGUAUCUUUUGGGUUCUCCCCUUCUUGCACAGCAAAUAUGAACGUAUGAAUAUACACGUGCCAGAUAGCCUACUGUCCC